AGACAGAAUUGAACCUAUUAGGUCACACACAUAAGAAAUCACGUAUGAUCGAUGUUAAGGAGACGAUAAAAGAAGUUUAUCAGAUGGGUUAAUUGUAACGAUCCAGCCCACUAGCAAAAAUAACUCGUUGGGCCCAACCACCGGACCAAAAAUGCUUAAGUCCAGUUAUUAUUACUAGUGUCUAAGUCUCUUAUAUACCCAAUCACAUCCCUAUUCAUAU
RNAcentral lists this long non-coding RNA (220 nucleotides) under Ananas comosus (pineapple). RNAcentral describes it as "long non-coding RNA (ACOM_LNC005578)". The record is from RNAcentral. Lineage: Eukaryota; Viridiplantae; Streptophyta; Magnoliopsida; Poales; Bromeliaceae.